UAGGGAAUCUUCGGCAAUGGACGAAAGUCUGACCGAGCAACGCCGCGUGAGUGAAGAAGGUUUUCGGAUCGUAAAACUCUGUUGUUAGAGAAGAACAAGGACGUUAGUAACUGAACGUCCCCUGACGGUAUCUAACCAGAAAGCCACGGCUAACUACGUGCCAGCAGCCGCGGUAAUACGCAGGUGGCAAGCGUUGUCCGGAUUUAUUGGGCGUAAAGCGAGCGCAGGCGGUUUCUUAAGUCUGAUGUGAAAGCCCCCGGCUCAACCGGGGAGGGUCAUUGGAAACUGGGAGACUUGAGUGCAGAAGAGGAGAGUGGAAUUCCAUGUGUAGCGGUGAAAUGCGUAGAUAUAUGGAGGAACACCAGUGGCGAAGGCGGCCCCCUGGAAAAAGACUGACGCUAAGGUGCGAAAGCGUGGGGAGCAAACAGG
RNAcentral lists this ribosomal RNA (429 nucleotides) under Chloroflexota bacterium. RNAcentral's name for it is "Chloroflexi bacterium partial 16S ribosomal RNA". It matches the Rfam family "Bacterial small subunit ribosomal RNA", at positions 355 to 776 of the family's 1533-position model. The record is from RNAcentral. Lineage: Bacteria; Bacillati; Chloroflexota.